CCUGAUAGCUCAGUUGGUAAAGAAUCUGUCUACAAUGCAGAAGACCCUGGUUCGAUUCCUGGGUCAGGA
Molecule: transfer RNA, 69 nt
Filed under: Bos taurus (domestic cattle)
Lineage: Eukaryota; Metazoa; Chordata; Mammalia; Artiodactyla; Bovidae
Also listed under: 4 other names
Rfam family: tRNA
About the family: Transfer RNA (tRNA) molecules are approximately 80 nucleotides in length. Their secondary structure includes four short double-helical elements and three loops (D, anti-codon, and T loops). Further hydrogen bonds mediate the characteristic L-shaped molecular structure. tRNAs have two regions of fundamental functional importance: the anti-codon, which is responsible for specific mRNA codon recognition, and the 3' end, to which the tRNAs corresponding amino acid is attached (by aminoacyl-tRNA synthetases). tRNAs cope with the degeneracy of the genetic code in two manners: having more than one tRNA (with a specific anti-codon) for a particular amino acid; and 'wobble' base-pairing, i.e. permitting non-standard base-pairing at the 3rd anti-codon position.
Source: Rfam by way of RNAcentral